GAUCAUGGCUUAGGAUGAACGCUAGCUACAGGCUUAACACAUGCAAGUCGAGGGGAAACGACAUCGAAAGCUUGCUUUUGAUGGGCGUCGACCGGCGCACGGGUGAGUAACGCGUAUCCAACCUGCCCAUCACUUGGGAAUAACCUUGCGAAAGUAAGACUAAUGCCCAAUGAUAUCCCACGAAGGCAUCCGAAUGGGAUUAAAGAUUUAUCGGUGAUGGAUGGGGAUGCGCCUGAUUAG
RNAcentral lists this ribosomal RNA (240 nucleotides) under uncultured bacterium. RNAcentral describes it as "partial 16S ribosomal RNA". It matches the Rfam family "Bacterial small subunit ribosomal RNA", at positions 15 to 244 of the family's 1533-position model. The record is from RNAcentral.